This 25-nucleotide non-coding RNA is filed under the name Rattus norvegicus (Norway rat). Lineage: Eukaryota; Metazoa; Chordata; Mammalia; Rodentia; Muridae. The record is from RNAcentral.
UAUUUCCCAGGUUUUUUCAGUGUAC